UACGUAGGGUGCGAGCGUUGUCCGGAAUUACUGGGCGUAAAGAACUCGUAGGUGGUUUGUCGCGUUGUCCGUGAAAUUCCCUGGCUUAACUGGGGGCGUGCGGGCGAUACGGGCAGACUGGAGUACUGCAGGGGAGACUGGAAUUCCUGGUGUAGCGGUGGAAUGCGCAGAUAUCAGGAGGAACACCGGUGGCGAAGGCGGGUCUCUGGGCAGUAACUGACGCUGAGGAGCGAAAGCGUGGGGAGCGAACAGGAUUAGAUACCCUGGUAGUCCACGCCGUAAACGGUGGGUACUAGGUGUGGGUUUCCUUCCUUGGGAUCCGUGCCGUAGCUAACGCAUUAAGUACCCCCGCCUGGGGAGUACGGCCGCAAGGCUAGAACU
Molecule: ribosomal RNA, 381 nt
Filed under: uncultured bacterium
Lineage: Bacteria
Description: bacterial SSU rRNA
Rfam family: Bacterial small subunit ribosomal RNA
Source: RNAcentral